GUUGAUGGCGUUGCGCGCCGCAGCCACGGCCGCCAACGCGGUCGCGACGACGGCAUCUCUCGGCUGGUGGUGGAUGCCGCCAUCUGUUUCCUUGGCUACGUGAUCGCGCGCCCUCUUGGUCUCGUGUUUCGUGGCCUCACCGUCGGUACGCUCGCUGCGGCGCGACCGAUGGCGAUGGGGCCUCUCGCUGCUUUUGCGUUUCUCUGCUUUGUUGUUGUUGUUGUUGUGCCUGGCGGCACCAUCGGCGAUGUCGCCGUCCGCGUUGUCCUUGUGACGACUCUGCACAUGAUCGCGUCCGCGCUCGUCUCUGUGCUUAUCGCGCCGCCGCCGGUGCGGUUCGGCGUCGCCGCGGUGGCGCCGAUGGUUUCGGUGGUCCUUGCCGACCGUCUUGGCGUCGCUCAGACCGCGCACGCCGUUAUCGGGCACGCACGGCGCCGUUGCGUCCGAGACC
This 451-nucleotide long non-coding RNA is filed under the name Pandoravirus neocaledonia. RNAcentral's name for it is "hypothetical ncRNA". The record is from RNAcentral.